Molecule: long non-coding RNA, 273 nt
Filed under: Homo sapiens (human)
Lineage: Eukaryota; Metazoa; Chordata; Mammalia; Primates; Hominidae
Description: non-protein coding lnc-ABHD4-12:24
Source: RNAcentral
AAUUCAGGUAGAGGCCUUGUCCACCUAAUUUUAAUACGUUCAAAUGAAAGAGAGAAACACAGUGGAAGAUUAAGAGUCACGCUUGACACUUCCAAGAAAAGCAGUUCCUUGUUGAUCACGGCUUCCCGGGCAGCAGACACUGCUUCUUACUUCUGUGCUACGGACGCACAAUAGUGGAGGUAGCAACUAUAAACUGACAUUUGGAAAAGGAACUCUCUUAACCGUGAAUCCAAUAUCCAGAACCCUGACCCUGCCGUGUACCAGCUGAGAGAC